This 520-nucleotide ribosomal RNA is filed under the name uncultured Glomus. RNAcentral's name for it is "SSU rRNA". It matches the Rfam family "Eukaryotic small subunit ribosomal RNA", at positions 569 to 1091 of the family's 1831-position model. The record is from RNAcentral. Lineage: Eukaryota; Fungi; Glomeromycota; Glomeromycetes; Glomerales; Glomeraceae.
AGCAGCCGCGGUAAUUCCAGCUCCAAUAGCGUAUAUUAAAGUUGUUGCAGUUAAAAAGCUCGUAGUUGAAUUUCGGGAUCAAUUUAUUGGUCGUGCUAUUGUACGUACUGGUAUUAUUGAUUCCUACCUUCUGACGAACCAUGAUGUCAUUAAUUUGGUGUCAUGGGGAAUCAGGACUGUUACUUUGAAAAAAUUAGAGUGUUUAAAGCAGGCUCACGCUUGAAUACAUUAGCAUGGAAUAACGAAAUAGGACGUUUGAUUCUAUUUUGUCGGUUUCUAGGAUCGACGUAAUGAUUAAUAGGGAUAGUUGGGGGCAUUAGUAUUCAAUUGUCAGAGGUGAAAUUCUUGGAUUUAUUGAAGACUAACUACUGCGAAAGCAUUUGCCAAGGAUGUUUUCAUUAAUCAAGAACGAAAGUUAGGGGAUCGAAGACGAUCAGAUACCGUCGUGGUCUUAACCAUAAACUAUGCCGACUAGGGAUCGGAUGACGUUAAUUUUUUAAUGACUCAUUCGGCGCCUUAC